GAUGAACGCUAGCGGCGUGCCUAAUACAUGCAAGUCGAGCGAACAGACGAGGAGCUUGCUCCUCUGACGUUAGCGGCGGACGGGUGAGUAACACGUGGAUAACCUACCUAUAAGACUGGGAUAACUUCGGGAAACCGGAGCUAAUACCGGAUAACAUGUUGAACCGCAUGGUUCAACAGUGAAAGACGGUCUUGCUGUCACUUAUAGAUGGAUCCGCGCCGCAUUAGCUAGUUGGUAAGGUAACGGCUUACCAAGGCAACGAUGCGUAGCCGACCUGAGAGGGUGAUCGGCCACACUGGAACUGAGACACGGUCCAGACUCCUACGGGAGGCAGCAGUAGGGAAUCUUCCGCAAUGGGCGAAAGCCUGACGGAGCAACGCCGCGUGAGUGAAGAAGGUCUUCGGAUCGUAAAACUCUGUUAUUAGGGAAGAACAAAUGUGUAAGUAACUAUGCACGUCUUGACGGUACCUAAUCAGAAAGCCACGGCUAACUACGUG
RNAcentral lists this ribosomal RNA (497 nucleotides) under uncultured bacterium. Its description in RNAcentral is "partial 16S ribosomal RNA". It matches the Rfam family "Bacterial small subunit ribosomal RNA", at positions 28 to 507 of the family's 1533-position model. The record is from RNAcentral.